This 492-nucleotide ribosomal RNA is filed under the name uncultured bacterium. Its description in RNAcentral is "partial 16S ribosomal RNA". It matches the Rfam family "Bacterial small subunit ribosomal RNA", at positions 29 to 507 of the family's 1533-position model. The record is from RNAcentral.
AGUGAACGCUGGCGGCAGGCCUAACACAUGCAAGUCGAACGGCAGCACAGUAAGAGCUUGCUCUUACGGGUGGCGAGUGGCGGACGGGUGAGGAAUACAUCGGAAUCUACUCUUUCGUGGGGGAUAACGCAGGGAAACUUACGCUAAUACCGCAUACGACCUACGGGUGAAAGCAGGGGAUCUUCGGACCUUGCGCGAUUGAAUGAGCCGAUGUCGGAUUAGCUAGUUGGCGGGGUAAAGGCCCACCACGGCGACGAUCCGUAGCGGGUCUGAGAGGAUGAUCAGCCACACUGGAACUGAGACACGGUCCAGACUCCUACGGGAGGCAGCAGUGGGGAAUAUUGGGCAAUGGGCGCAAGCCUGAUCCAGCCAUACCGCGUGGGUGAAGAAGGCCUUCGGGUUGUAAAGCCCUUUUGUUGGGAAAGAAAAGCAGCAGGUUAAUACCCCGCUGUUCUGACGGUACCCAAAGAAUAAGCACCGGCUAACUUCGUG